RNAcentral lists this long non-coding RNA (298 nucleotides) under Ananas comosus (pineapple). RNAcentral describes it as "long non-coding RNA (ACOM_LNC003940)". Lineage: Eukaryota; Viridiplantae; Streptophyta; Magnoliopsida; Poales; Bromeliaceae. The record is from RNAcentral.
CCUUGGCACAUUAUCAGUACAGUCUAAUUUCACACAAUCCACUUCUGCACCUGAGCGUGACAUUGGAUCCCUCAAAACUUAAUUCUGAUCGUUCUUUUGAGUUCCCAACAGUAAAAAGCGAUGAUUCGUGACGCACAAGCAUGGCACGUCAGUGUUCUCAUGAAGAAGUUAACGGAGGGUGUAACAAAGAACGAAAAUAAAAACUAUAGAAUACUCAAGUAAUACAGUUAAAACUUAAGAAUAAUAAAAUAAAAGGCGGCAAAUCAUAAGGAAUAAUAAAAAGCGGAGUAUGGGUCAU